This 253-nucleotide ribosomal RNA is filed under the name uncultured bacterium. RNAcentral's name for it is "partial 16S ribosomal RNA". It matches the Rfam family "Bacterial small subunit ribosomal RNA", at positions 524 to 776 of the family's 1533-position model. The record is from RNAcentral.
UACGUAGGGGGCAAGCGUUGUCCGGAUUUAUUGGGCGUAAAGAGCGUGUAGGCGGCUUGGUAGGUCCGCUGUGAAAACUCGAGGCUCAACCUCGAGAUGUCGGCGGAAACCACUUGGCUAGAGUCCGGAAGAGGAGAGUGGAAUUCCUGGUGUAGCGGUGAAAUGCGUAGAGAUCCGGAGGAACACCGAAAGCGAAGGCAGUGUCCUGGCUGGUGACUGACGCUGAGGUGCGAAAGCUAGGGGAGCGAACGGG